UUCCCCGUGUUCUUCCCUAUAGAAUCGCCUCUUUAUCAUCUUCUUAACAGUCCGGAUUUCCAAUUGGAGGAUAGCCGACGGCUAGUCACAGAGAGAGCGAGAGAGAGAGAGAGAGNNNGGUUUUGGGUUUACUGUUUACGGGAUGCAAACUGAGGGAGACAAGUCAAGAAGUUGAGUUCGGGUAUGGUGGAAACCCGGCCUACCGUUGGUGAAGCCCAUUUACGAGGGCUUAGAAUUGGCUCGGGCGCCUUCUUUUC
Molecule: unclassified non-coding RNA, 257 nt
Filed under: Hevea brasiliensis (rubber tree)
Lineage: Eukaryota; Viridiplantae; Streptophyta; Magnoliopsida; Malpighiales; Euphorbiaceae
Source: RNAcentral